CAGCCGCCGCGGUAAUACGUAGGAGGCGAGCGUUGUCCGGAUUUACUGGGCGUAAAGCGCGCGCAGGCGGCACUUCAAGUAAGGUGUGAAAUCUCCCUGCUCAACGGGGAGGGUGCACUUUAGACUGAGGAGCUAGAGGACGGUAGAGGGGGGUGGAAUUGCUGGUGUAGCGGUGAAAUGCGUAGAGAUCAGCAGGAACACCCGUGGCGAAGGCGGCCCCCUGGGCCGUACCUGACGCUGAGGCGCGAAGGCUAGGGGAGCGAACGGGAUUAGAUACCCCGGUAGUCCUAGCAGUAAACGAUGGCCACUAGGUGUGGGGGGUGUUGACCCCUUCCGUGCCGAAGCUAACGCAUUAAGUGGCCCGCCUGGGGAGUACGGUCGCAAGACUAAAACUCAAAUGAAUUGACGG
RNAcentral lists this ribosomal RNA (409 nucleotides) under uncultured soil bacterium. Its description in RNAcentral is "bacterial SSU rRNA". It matches the Rfam family "Bacterial small subunit ribosomal RNA", at positions 509 to 916 of the family's 1533-position model. The record is from RNAcentral.